Molecule: ribosomal RNA, 497 nt
Filed under: uncultured bacterium
Lineage: Bacteria
Description: partial 16S ribosomal RNA
Rfam family: Bacterial small subunit ribosomal RNA
Source: RNAcentral
GAUGAACACUGGCGGCGUGCCUAAUACAUGCAAGUCGAGCGAACGGACGAGGAGCUUGCUUUUCUGAUGUUAGCGGCGGACGGGUGAGUAACACGUGGAUAACCUACCUAUAAGACUGGGAUAACUUCGGGAAACCGGAGCUAAUACCGGAUAAUAUUUUGAACCGCAUGGUUCAAAAGUGAAAGACGGUCUUGCUGUCACUUAUAGAUGGAUCCGCGCUGCAUUAGCUAGUUGGUAAGGUAACGGCUUACCAAGGCAACGAUGCAUAGCCGACCUGAGAGGGUGAUCGGACACACUGCAACUGAGACACGGUCCAGACUCCUACGGGAGGCAGCAGUAGGGAAUCUUCCGCAAUGGGCGAAAGCCUGACGGAGCAACGCCGCGUGAGUGAUGAAGGUCUUCGGAUCGUAAAACUCUGUUAUUAGGGAAGAACAUAUGUGUAAGUAACUGUGCACAUCUUGACGGUACCUAAUCAGAAAGCCACGGCUAACUACGUG